AGAUUUUAUCAACGAAAUUAACUUUUUAUUACUGACAGAUUUACUGAUAGAAUUGUUAAAAUUCGUUGGUAAUGUAGUUUACAUUUAUCGAAGGAUAAAUCAGUUGGUAAAUGGGUGGAAAUUUUCCCGUUCCUUAUUUUAAUUACCAAAGGAAAAAUUCGUUAAUAAGUCUGUUGAUAAAUGAGUGGGAAUUUUUCCGCUCAUUUUUUCUCUUUGCUUGCGAGUAAGGUGCAUUAUAUAUUCCUUUUUCUCUCAUUUCUUUCUUAUUUGCGCGAGGAAGUUACUUCUUUUCCUACUUCUCCAUCUUCUACUCCAUCCUUUUCUUCUCUUCACUCCAUUGCAGUUACAAACCAAGAUUGUCUCAUCUCCGUUCAAUAAGGUUGUUGUUUCGUUCAACUGCCUCCAUCCUGCUUCUCUACAACCACUGCCAGCACCGUCCAAUGUCUCUUUUCUUUCCCUUUCAUGCUUCAGUUAUUGCCACCACUCUGCAACACCAAUUUUUCCCACUGUAACGAUUUUGAAGAAGAACGAUUGAUAAAAAUG
Molecule: long non-coding RNA, 543 nt
Filed under: Vigna radiata
Lineage: Eukaryota; Viridiplantae; Streptophyta; Magnoliopsida; Fabales; Fabaceae
Description: long non-coding RNA (VRAD_LNC005741)
Source: RNAcentral